GAUCCUGGCUCAGGAUGAACGCUGGCGGCGUGCUUAACACAUGCAAGUCGAACGAAGCAGUUAUACGAUCCUCGGGGUGACGAUUACUGACUGAGUGGCGGACGGGUGAGUAACGCGUGGGUAACCUGCCUGUACAGGGGGACAACAGUUGGAAACGACUGCUAAUACCGCAUAAGCGCACAGCUUCGCAUGAAGCAGUGUGAAAAGUUAUUCGGUACAAGAUGGACCCGCGUCUGAUUAGCUAGUUGGUGAGGUAACGGCCCACCAAGGCGACGAUCAGUAGCCGACCUGAGAGGGUGACCGGCCACAUUGGGACUGAGACACGGCCCAAACUCCUACGGGAGGCAGCAGUGGGGAAUAUUGCACAAUGGGCGAAAGCCUGAUGCAGCGACGCCCGCGUGAGCGAAGAAGUAUUUCGGUAUGUAAAGCUCUAUCAGCAGGGAAGAUAAUGACGGUACCUGACUAAGAAGCACCGGCUAAAUACGUGCCAGCAGCUGC
RNAcentral lists this ribosomal RNA (498 nucleotides) under uncultured bacterium. RNAcentral describes it as "bacterial SSU rRNA". It matches the Rfam family "Bacterial small subunit ribosomal RNA", at positions 15 to 518 of the family's 1533-position model. The record is from RNAcentral.